AAAAGAAAAUAACAAUGAUUUCCCUAGUAACGGCGAGUGAAGAGGAAAGAGCUCAAAGUUGGAACCUAUUUGGCUUAGCUAAAUCGGAUUGUAAACUGUAGAAGUGUUUUCCAGACACGCCUGGUAAAAAAGUCCUUUGGAACAGGGCAUCAUAGAGGGUGAGAAUCCCGUCAUUGGCCAGAGCUGUUGUCUUUUGUGAUACAUUUUCAAAGAGUCAGGUUGUUUGGGAAUGCAGCCUAAAUUGGGUGGUAAAUCUCACCUAAAGCUAAAUAUUUGCGAGAGACCGAUAGCGAACAAGUACCGUGAGGGAAAGAUGAAAAGAACUUUGAAAAGAGAGUUAAACAGUAUGUGAAAUUGUUAAAAGGGAACCGUUUGGAGCCAGACUGGCUUAAUCGUAAUCAAUCUAGGCUUUGGCCUGGAUGCACUUGCGGUUUAUGCCGGCCAACGACAGUUUUGUUUGGGAGAAAAAAUUACAUUGAAUGUGGCCCCUCGGGGUGUUAUAGCUUUGUAAAAAAUAUCCUGGACUGGACUGAGGAACGCAGUGAAUGCCUUUAGGCAAGAUUGCUGGGUGCUUUCACUAAUAAAUGCUAGAAUUUCUGCUUCGGGUGGUGCUAGUGUUUAAAGGAGGAACUCGCCUGGUAUAUUUUUUAUUCGCUUAGG
Molecule: ribosomal RNA, 660 nt
Filed under: Mucor hiemalis
Lineage: Eukaryota; Fungi; Mucoromycota; Mucoromycetes; Mucorales; Mucoraceae
Description: partial large subunit ribosomal RNA
Rfam family: Eukaryotic large subunit ribosomal RNA
Source: RNAcentral